Molecule: long non-coding RNA, 17776 nt
Filed under: Solanum tuberosum (potato)
Lineage: Eukaryota; Viridiplantae; Streptophyta; Magnoliopsida; Solanales; Solanaceae
Description: long non-coding RNA (STUB_LNC005169)
Source: RNAcentral
CCCAGUAAAAAAAAAAGGUAGUGCUGUUACAGAGACAGCGAUUUAGCUUCAUUGCAAACCGUAGUGCUUCUAUAGGAAGUAAUUCCUAGCGCGUCUGCCUUGAAAGCUAAGUCAAACAAAGGAGAAACAGUAAAAUGUAUUAUAUUAUCAUGCAUCCUAUAUCCAUAUUGUUUUGCAAGUUGAUCCGCCACCUCAUUUUGUUUCUUGUAGUUGCGUUCAUUCAAAGGUUCUCUUAGUUGGUUCAGCAAUGACCUGCAACCAUGAACAAUGUCAGAACAAUGUAAGUUAUUGUCGCGGAGGAACAAUGUAAGAGAGAUACUUGGGAGCAUCGACUCUUUUAUGGAUGAUAGGGCAACAAAAACCUUUUGUUCAUUUGACUGUAUGUUUGCACUAACAUUAAUAGAGGAAGGUAUCAAAUAUUAUAAACUUCAGUACGAAGGUAGUGCUGGGUGCCACAUUUACAAUUUGAAAAAAAGCAAAGAAAAAGUGUUUCCUUGAUUCUUCCUACAAGGAUUCUAAAACUUAAAACUUCUAAACAGCAUUCGAACUAUUUGCAAGAUUUUCGUUACACCCAAAACAGAAAAAGAAAAUAUCAUUCAUCCAUCCCCCAAUUUAAUACGAACUUCUGCUUUGAAAGGUCAAUAGACCUAUGACUGUUCUCCAUACCUCCAUAAUUAUUUCAUUUUUCAUUUAGUGAACUUGAAUUAUGUUUGCUUUAAGUUUUUUAUGCCCAAGCCCCCUUCCAUUUCACUAGAUUAAAACACCUCUUAUCUCUAUCUCCUUGCCAUAUAAAGUUCCUUAUUAAAGCAUCAGUCUUCUUUUCAAUUUUUACUGGUAUAUUUGGCAGAUAGCUUGAUUAGUUAACAAUGUACUUGACUCAUUAACCAUCAAUAUUUCAUGUUGCAUCCAUUAUCUAUCUACCACAAAUAAAAGUGAUUUGAUGAGUGUCUUAUCAGUUUGUCCACCAUUUUUUUGAGUCUCUAGAUACCAGCUUAGAGUACCAGAAAUUAUGCCCUAAAGGACAUGUGUGGGAGCUGUCAUUAGCGUGAAAAUAGUCGUAGGAAUUGUUUCCCACAACAAUGAGUUUACACCAAGGAGAACGAAACGAGCCCCUACGUGUUUACCCUAGUCUAGACAAGUUAGCAAAUACAGUACAAGAUGAAGUCCCAUGAUGUAUGCUAUUUGCUAAUGAUUUGUGUUAAUUGACAAAUCUAGCAAGGGUGUCAACCAAAAGCUUGACUUAUGGAGAAAAACGUUAGAAAGUAAGGGUUUUGGGAUAAGUAGAAGUAACAGAAUGAAAUUACAAAUGAAGGUGUUACUCGUUAAAAUCAGAUGGUUGAAAUGAAGAAGUGCUAUCAAGUGAAAUGUGAUAGAAGGAUGCCUACCAAAUUGAAAGUUAAAAAGUAUAUAGAACAACUAUAAGACUUACAAUGUUAUAUGGUGGUUGAAUGUUGGGUCGCUAAAGAUACAAUCCAAGUUCACUUGAGAUGGUUUGAACAUGUUUUACAAAUGCACUAAUUCGUUGGUGUGAAACAAUAGUAAGUGAAAGUGUUGAAAAGAGAUGGGCAAAUCUAAAAUGACAUGGAAGAAAGUCUCGAAAGACCUAUAAAUGCAUGGUGUUAAUGCAGACUUAGCUAACAAUUAGGCAUAAUAGAAGAAAAAGAUCUAUAGAGGUGAUAAGCUACUAGUUGAGAAUAGAUUUUAGACUUGUUAGAUAAAUUCUAAUAUUAUUAUUAUUAUUAUCAUUAUAUAUCCAUAAACAGCCUCUUAGGGAACUUUCACAAAAAUAAAUUAUUGCAUGUACCCAACAUCCCAAAACAGGGGUAACCCAAUACUGUCCUCCAGUUGUACUGAAAGAAGUCUGAAAUAGCAAAUCACCCAAGAAAUUUGCUGCUCCAACCGUUUCGUGCAGCAAUCUUGAUUGCCAGCAUGUCCAUUCUUGUCUAAACAUAUUUGCUCUAUCAUCAUCUCAUGAAGCAUUUCUCAUUUAGUCAUUACCUACUGAUGGCUAACAACUUGCUAUUGUUGACGUGUCAUUGUUGUUGUUAGGAUUAUUUUAUCUAGUACCAUUCUACAACUAAACAAUUGUUUUUAACUUUAUGGGAGAAGAGAGAGGGCAAGAAAAGUUUGACCCAAGAAAUUGGAUGCCUCUUUGGUUUUUAUCAUAUUCAAUAAUCGGAUCCCAAUACUAACCUUAUUUACCCCAACCACCUACUGCUAGUUCCUUAACUCGCAGCAAGCGUUAUGCAUCUUUUCUCUAGUAUGCAUUUAUGUUAUACUAGUCAUGUUUAAGAAAUUCUCUUCUUUAUCUGUUUUUUUUUUUUUUUGAGUGAGGUGGGUAGGUUGAAGGUAUUCCAAGGAGUCUUAUUUUGAAAACUAAGACGGGUCAACAGAAUGGAGUUUGGAUAAACAAUACGAUUUAGUAAGGGAAAACUUGAACAUUGGACCAUAAUGCAUGGCUACAUGCAUUUGGGUUUUCAUCCUGAAAUAUCCCCUUGUUAUUCUUUGUCUGAAGUCAGGUUGUAUGUUUCAACAUUCAAUAACUAGUAUAGAAUUGAGAAGCAACAUAGACAAUGCCUACAGAAAUAACGUGUGAUGAAGAUAACACACUUAGAUAUAUUCAUUAGAGCAUGUUCACCAUAUCUCUCUUGUUUUGCUUUAAUAUUAAGCAUGAAGGCAACAGCCACAACUAAUGAGUAUUUCAUACCUUGAUGAUUGGUACAUGAAAGUAGAGUAAAAGGAGCAAAACAGACUUCAGUGACAUACCUUAAAGACAGUACCAUUCACUUUGUAAAGGUUUUGUGCGCUAUCACUCCCAAGUCCAUUCAACUGACAAACACAGAAAAAGGAAUCAAAUACCAGAAUUGCAGCCAUCAGAUUAAUAAGAGGCUGCAAAAGAUAUUACCUGCGUUGUUCAAUUUAUGUCCUUUCUUAUAAGUAGAUAAUAAAGACACUUCUGAAUAUAUUUACUUUGACAGCAUGAAGUCGGUGAUUGAAAGAUACAACAAAACAAAGGAGGAGAAUCAUCAAUUGGCAACUCCAACUUCUGAGGUUAGGGUAAGUUUCACUGGUUAAUUUGCAGUCAACUAAUCAAAGAAAAAUAUGCAUAGCUAAGCUUUCUAUCAUAACCACUUCAUGUCGUUGGACAUAAUCUAGGCAAUAUCAAGGGACUUGUUGAGUAAUUGAGGCAUAGAAUUAACAACCUAAAAUCUCAGGUUCAAGGCCUUCUAUAACACAUAAUAUACACAUAUCUACUCAACCAUGGUGAGCUGAUUUCUGGACAUCUGUAAGGUAGGCUGCAGCAAGCUUUUUGGUGAGAUAGUCAAGGUGCGAGCAAAUUGAUCCAGACACCACUAUAAUAAGUAAAAAUUCUGUUCAAAGUUAACAGAAUAAUUAAAUGGUAGAGAAUAUUUUUAGUGAUUAUAUUAUAGAUGAAAGUUAAGAGGAUCAUUAAGAAUUAUAUGGAAAAUAUUCUUAGUGAUUAUAUGAUAAAUAUAGGAAACCAUAGAAACAAAAAGACUUCCCUCAUACAAGCAGCCCUCUUGAUAUUACCAACCAGUGCCAACAAGAAUAUCUUUUCAUCUUCUUCUCCUACUUAUUGGGCGUAUUAGGCUUCUAGGAAAUUUGUAGAAACCUAAGUGAAUAUAUAUUUGGAGAUUUUAUUACUCAUCUCUUUCUGAUUGAUCAUUCUAGGAAGUACCAUUCUUACUUCCAGCGAUCAUUUAGGCAGCACUAUGCUUUUUCAGGAGCCAUAACUCUUUCCAGAGAACAUUUGAGGCACCACACUGAUGUAUUUCAGGCAACCAUCUAUUCCUAGAGAUUUGUGUCACCAUAUCACUUCUCCCUAAAUUAGAAAAAAACAUUUCCCUAUGGGCUGUAAGGACACUUCUUUGGCUACAUCGACAACAGUCUGUGAGAAAGAAUAAGACCUUUUACGGCGAAUGUCACUAUUCCAGCAACUCAUUUCAGAUGACUGUCAAUUAUUCUGGUGAGUUCUAAUACAGUGCAAGGUGGCAUGUAAUCCUAACAUUGUUUUUGAUAAGUAGAAUUUAUUCAUAGAAACAGCAACAAUCAAGUAUUAAACCUGUAACAGAAGUUUGACUCAACUCCUAUCCAAGAUACAAGGAGUCUAUAUGAAGUCCAAAAGUGUUAUCAAGAUAAUUUUUACUGAGAAUUAUUCUAAAGGUUUAUACUAUAGUCUAGAGAACUAUUAAUUACUAUGUCAAAAUUGAAAUCCUCAAUGAGUAUGGUUCCUUAGUCCAUAGAAACUCCUAAGAGUCUAGUGUUUUCCUAACAAUAAAAGCUUAGUUAGGGUUCCUUACAUGAAUUAUGGUGUACUUCUGUGUAUACGACUUUGUGAAAAGGAUUUAAAAGAUAUUAGCACCUAUGAUGAAGGGAAAUAGAAUUUCGGAAACAGCCGUUCUACCUCUGGGCUCGGAGGUAGAGGUCAGGGCUGUGUUCACUCUACCCUCCCCAGAUCCCACUCCGUGGGACUAUAUUGGGUAUGCUGUUGAUGUUGUUGGAAUGUCAGUCAUAGGGUGGAGAAUCUUAUAAUAAGAGGGCUAGUGACUAGUCAAGUCAAAAACCUAGUUUGAUCUACAUGACUGGUUAUAUGGGUAGCCGAAUGGUAAUAAAAUAUUAACUAUAAAGGAAAACAACAAAAACGCUAGAAAGAGUCAAAAUGAAUAUUGAUAAUAUAUCUGUGAAUUUACACUAUUCCGAUUUAAUUAAUUCUAUUUAUACCAUGUGAGUCCUCCAGUUUUACCACUUCUAAGUUUCUAUGUGAUCUGGUUAGAUUGCAUGAGCCUGGUCCUAAGUUUGUAGUAUCCUACCACUCAGAUUGCUAUUUUGACAGUUUAGGAAAAGAAUAAAAUGCACAUUAAAGUACGUUGCUUUUGUUCUCACCAGAAAAGUGGAAAGAGAAAAAUGAAUUUUCAUCCCUUGAUAAAUCAGAUAACUUAUCCACCUUCACUUCCUUGGCUCAUUUGGUACAACGAUUCCUCAUUGCCCUGCCUUUCUGCCAUACUCAACACUUGUCUGUCCAAAUGGUCGGUCUAGCCAUAUGUUGGGUCAAAACUGAAAAUAGAAGAAGUGAGGGAAUGAUCUUAAAGGUUUCAUAUUAUCACCAACUCUACUGGAAAGGUCAAACUGUGUUUCCAAGGGAAAUAGAAUUAGGAGACGGAAGCAGGGUAACAGGGACAAAAGCGAAGAGACAAAACAGAAUCCUGCAAGAAGCAAAAGAUUCUUAUAGUUAACAGUUAGUUGUACAGCUGAAGAUGCUGGAAUGGAGGCUAAAGUUUGAAAACCAAUAUUUAAGAUGGAAGGAAGAUGCUUUAUGAGAAAAUAGAAACAUUCAUCCAAACUGGUGUCUUAUAAACCACGGGCAAUCCAAUACAUUGACAGAGAACAGGAGCUAAGUAUUCCAUUAUUACUGAUCUGGCAUGAAAUGCUAUCCAUUGAAAAUGUAACAAAACUUCACCUUUUCAAGAUUUAACUGGAGAGACGUCACAUAAGAAUAGAUCAGGGACUAUGGCUUUAAUUUGUCUAGCAAUCACAGCAUAGCUCAAGAUAGAACUGUCUUAUAGUUCACACUACACAAUUACUUUGAAGCAUUUUGUAUCAUAUCAAGCAAAAACAUCUUCAGCUAAACAAUUUUCAUAUAACCCCUACAGUCUGCAUAUUAACGCGAAAAAAGAUUCUACACAGACACAGCCUGAUUUCCUGCAAGAGCAAUUAAAGAAAGGGUUUUCAUGCUCUUGAGAGGGGUACAUGAUUGGAAAAACAAAACCACGUGCUACCUUUUUACUGACGAUCACCAUUAUCAACUUCAAGGAUUUAGUAGUCUGCCUAAUCCAGCUGUACUUGAAAAAUUGGCCAUCUUUUAAAUUACCUUUACAGUGUAAAGGUUCUAUUGUGGGAAAAGUUCUAGUAAGACAGGGACUUCAAAGGCUGCUUAUCCUCCAGCCCCCUUCUAACUAGUGUCAAAAUCUUAAAACAAAAUCUUCUGAAUCUUAAUCAUUUGAGCCAUGCCAAUUCAACAAGGAGAUUCAAUUUGUGGUAGAGGUAGUAAUGAUUUCUUUCCGGUGAAGCCCAUUUCUUGAAAAUCGUCUGCUAGGGCACACUAUCUGUUGUCAAAUAUCUACCAAGAUGACAGCUGGUGUUAACCUACACCUUGAUCAUUCCUAUGUUCACAUAUAAGUUCAGGUACAGCAAGGAGCUUUUGGAUAUGGUAUUGGAAGAUAAUUCCUGGUAGAUUGAUCAUGGAAGCAGCACUUGACCCCUUUUAAUAAUAAGACUGGAUAGACCACCCUAAUUUAAGACAUAACUAAGAAUUCUGCUCGGGGGUUAAUACUGCCAUCAUGACAUAUUGCACUCAUUUUCAUAGCACACUCUUCCAAUGGUACACAAAUCCAGGAACAGAAAAUCUCGUCUAGAGCUGCUUUACGAUCUUCAAGUGGGGUAACUAUGACGCAGCUGUAAUUUUAUUUUUUUUGUACAACUGUAAUUAAUCAUUUACAGAACAUCAAAUUUAAUUACUCCUUACUGUACCAGACAUCAUAGUUUAUGACCAUCAACUUCAAGGCCUCCAAAACAACAAUAGCUUAUAAUUUUAUCCCUGAUAGCAUAUUGUCGAACAAAAUUGUUAAUGGUAGGAAGCAACAAAUAUAAAAACGACGCCUUGUGGCAAUCUCAAGGAAGUAACUCUAAAUUGAAGUUACACAAUCUUAAGGGUACAUAUGGAUCUAAUUCCCAGACCACAAGGAGGGGGACGGCUCAAUUUAAAUCUAAGUAGCACCCAUUACAUCUAGGCUUGGUUUCCUAUUGAUUUCACAGCUAGUUUUAUCAAGCAUGCAGAAAUAUCCAUUAGUUUCUCCUAUGAUAAUCCAAAACCAUGUAUUAAAAUAUAAUUUCCUGUUAGCAGUUUUGGCAAAGGGAAGCGGCAAUGCUGAGGCAACAACUACAGAACUUGCAAGAGAAUCACCGGUAAACUCUCUUGUCAUAUGUUAGAUAUAUUUCUUACUUCCACAAAUAACUUAUUCAAUGAUCUAUAGCACAAACACAGGGACUCUUGUCUCCAUUGUAAGUUUUAAGACAUUAAAGUAAAAAUUACUCCCUUCAUUCACUUUUACUUGUCACAUUUGGAAUUAGCACACCCAAUAAGAAAACAAUAAUUGACAUGGCUAUUUUACCACACUACCCUAUUAAUUGAUGUUUAGUAUUAAGUGUUGAAAAAUGAUCUGGGAAUAUGUAAUCAAUGCUAAGGGGAAGACAUGGAAAAAAUUUAUUGUCUUUUCUUGAUAUGUUAAAGGUGAAGAGUAAAAGUAGGUUUGGGGGUUUCACAUGAAUCCCUAUUAAUUGAUGUUUAGUAUUAGGUCUUGGAAAUGGUGUUAUCCACUUUAAUGUUGAGGGACUAGGAAUUAGAGAUUUUAGAAUGUUCAUAAACUCUACCAGGAAAGUUGGUUUGGGGUUUCACAUGGAACUCAACCGUUGUGGGCAUCGACAAGUAUGCUAUUAAAUGGGAUAAUGAGGACCAAUCAUAUUGAGCAUCUCUUUAGAGGAUAUUGGGAAAAUGUGGAGAGAUCCUAUCUAAGUGAAAAUUUAUAUAUACUUUUUUGAAAACUACCCAUCAAAGCGACAAAUUUAAAAGGGGAGAGGGGUUUUGUUGUGUGUGUGUGUGGGAGGGGGGGAGGGGGGCUAGGCUAUUGAAACUAGAAUCAAUGUCUUGAAAUAGAGAGGGUAGAGUCGUUGAUUGUGUUAAGUUUUCUGAUCAUUUUUAAUACUUUCAACCAACAGAUAUUAACAGUUGUCGACAAUUUUUUUAUUUUCUGAAAUGGUAACAUAAUAAUUGUCCACAAUUAUAGAGAAUGGGGGAGAAUUUUAUAGGACCUAUUGCUUGGAUCACCAUACAUGCAAAGAAAAUACAGAAAUACUCCCAAUUCACAUUAUUUUGUAGUUAUUACUACUCGUUUCUGUAUUUUCUUUUUUCAAACUACUUGGAAAUGCUUUGUUUUAAGCGGAGGGUCUAUCGGAAACAGUCUCUCUAGCUCUAACGAGGUAGGAGUAAGGUCUGGUUACACUCUACCCUCCCUAGACCUCAAAUGUGGGAUUACAUUGGGCAUGUUGUUUUUGUUGUUCUUUCUUUAGGUAGGAAUUUUCCCAUAACAUUAGUAUACGUUGAUUUCAUCAACAAUGUUCCUAGGCAAAAUAAAAUAUCUCCUCCAUUGCACUACUUAAAAUAUUUAACUAUUGUGAUCUUUUGGAUCGAUGGUGUUAUUUCUUUUUAUUUUUUGGGGGUUGGGGGGAAUAAAGGUAAUAUUUGAGGGUUUUACUUUUCUGUCUUUAAAUGGAUGGAGUGAGGAAAUAGAGAAAUGUGUAUUAAUUGACACUAAUUCCCGUGAUAGCUAUUUUGUUCAUAAUCCUGAGCUUUCUUUUGACACUACAGAAGUUCCGUUAAAACAUGUCCUGUUUUUCUUCGUUUCACUCGCUUUUUGACAGAACAUUUUGUUAACGAACUUAACUCUCCUUUCUCUGCUUCUCCCUUCCUGUCCCUCAAAACCCUUGAAGAACAAAAAAAAUUGAAUGUACCUCCUCUUCUCUCCUCUCAUUUCUAUCUGUCUUUCAAUUCUAUAGCUCUAUCAGAACCCAACACCCACACCCCAGUUUUCUUUUUCUAUGUUCAGUGGGCAGUAGAAAGAGAGAAAAGGAUAGUUCUAGUAGUGAUACAAAAGGUGUCUCAUCAAGGAUGCCGUUUGGAAUGUUCCUUCAAUAUCUUCAACAGUAUAGGCAUCCUAAGCCAACCACAAGAAAAUGCAUGAAACUAAGAACUAAACUAUCACCACCUUGCUGGAAAAAAGCAAGUGACACUAGAUAGCUUGUAACAUCAGUUCACAAAAUAGAAUAUGACAGAGAUAUCUGCUCUAGGUUAUCCUUAAAAAGAUUAUAUCUGUAAGUGCUGACAGAAAGGAUACUCAGAUUAUUUCAAGCUACUGGUUUUACAAUCAAAAGGAAGAGGCACUCAGGACCAUGGUUGUAACCCUUCAGAUCAGGGUUUUGAAGGAUCAAACAACAUUCGGUCUCUCUUAUGAAUUAAAGUAUUAGCAUGGACUUCUAGGGUGUGUCUGGUAUGGAGGAAAACAUUUUCUAGUAGAAGUGGCUUCUUGUUUAUUUUCUUGUGUUCGGUAUGCAAGUAAAAAUUUAUAAUCCUAAAAGUAUUUCUAUAUAUAUCUAAGACAAAACUAUGACUCUAUGAGGGUGGGGGUGGAGGAAUUCAGGGGUGGGCUGGGUGGUUGUGAGGAGACAAUGUGAUUUGUUUUACCUACUUUCAUUAGGAAAGUUAUUUUCCAUAUUAUUUUUAUUAUGACAAGGGAAAGCCGCAGUCGUUACCCUUUGGGCGCGCACAGGGUAAAACCCCCGCUCCUAUGCAAUAGCUCGCAAACCACAUAGGAGAGGUAACCCGCACUAGGCAAGCCCGGUGCGAUGAGCUCGAUCUAGAAGGCAAACCCCUUGCUUUCGCUGGCAAGGGGUUUCGAACUUGAGACCUCCAACAUGGAAGUCCUAAGCCCAAACCACUGGCCAACCCCAAAGGGUCAUUUUCCAUAUUUUCAAGGAGAUUGUUUUCCUAAAGAAAAUAUUUCUCAAAAUUUUUGGUCAACUGAACUGCAGUGAAUCAUGCAAUUCACUGGAGGAUUCUGUAAAGAUGUCUUCACUAUAUAAUCCCAGCAAGCAACUCAAUGUUGGGGAGUGAAAAUUCAAUAAUAAGCACACCUCAAAUGGUGUUAUAGAUUUCUUCCAGAGCUCCAUCAAACUGUUUAACAUCAACCCCCACCCACACCCANNNNNNNNNNNNNNNNNNNNNNNNNNNNNNNNNNNNNNNNNNNNNNNNNNNNNNNNNNNNNNNNNNNNNNNNNNNNNNNNNNNNNNNNNNNNNNNNNNNNNNNNNNNNNNNNNNNNNNNNNNNNNNNNNNNNNNNNNNNNNNNNNNNNNNNNNNNNNNNNNNNNNNNNNNNNNNNNNNNNNNNNNNNNNNNNNNNNNNNNNNNNNNNNNNNNNNNNNNNNNNNNNNNNNNNNNNNNNNNNNNNNNNNNNNNNNNNNNNNNNNNNNNNNNNNNNNNNNNNNNNNNNNNNNNNNNNNNNNNNNNNNNNNNNNNNNNNNNNNNNNNNNNNNNNNNNNNNNNNNNNNNNNNNNNNNNNNNNNNNNNNNNNNNNNNNNNNNNNNNNNNNNNNNNNNNNNNNNNNNNNNNNNNNNNNNNNNNNNNNNNNNNNNNNNNNNNNNNNNNNNNNNNNNNNNNNNNNNNNNNNNNNNNNNNNNNNNNNNNNNNNNNNNNNNNNNNNNNNCACCCCCCCCCCCCCCCCCCCCCCAAGAAACGAGAAGUCACAGUUGUUUAAAACAGGAUGUAUAAGUCACAUACAGUCAACUGUCAAUUUCUCUGUUGGAAUCACAUGUUUCUUAACAGUUUAUUUCUGCAAUAUAGACAAAUGAUGGGUGAAGAGCUUUCUGGUCUGAGCGUCAAAGAUUUGCAGAACUUGGAGAACCAACUGGAAACGAGUCUCCAUGGUGUUCGUGUAAGAAAGGUAUGAAAUUUCCAGAUCCAACAAAUGUUCACUAUAUUAAUUAAAUAAAAACUAACUCUACCCCCACAUGUCUACAGGACGAAAUUCUGAUUGAUGAGAUACAAGAACUAAACCGAAAGGUCAAUCAACAUAAAAUGCAGAGACUCUUAUCAAUUUAUUCUAAUCUAAAAAGUAUAACUUCUCAAGAUACUAAAUUAAUAUUUUUCCUUGCAGGGAAACCUCAUUCAUCAGGAAAACAUGGACCUAUAUAAGAAGGUAAACCUAAUUCGUCAAGAAAAUAUGAAAUUGUGUAAGAAGGUAUCAAUGUACAUCACUAAAAGCUUUCACAUGCUUCAAGAUCAAUUAUUUCCUUUUGUUUUCUUAUACCAAGUGAAAGAGUCAACCAUUCUUCUUAGAACUCUGGCAAAUUGUUUCUACAUUGUGUUAAACUACAGGUUUAUGGAAAUAGAGAUGCAAAUGGAGUGAGCAGAAGUCCCCUUGUUGCGAACAGUUUAAGCAUCAAUGAGGACCUUCAUGCUCCUGUUCAUCUCCAGCUUAGCCAGCCACAGCAACAGAACUAUGAGGCAUCGGGAACUACCGAAUUGGGGUAAUUUCUUGCUCAUAUGCUUCAUCUGGAAGCACAAUGGUAAUUCACUAACCUGAUCAUUGACUAUCGUCUUACUGGAAAAUGCUGCAGGCUACAACUGCAUUCGCAGUGAAAACCAGCCUCGUAAGAGUUUUCUGUUCUCAUGUUGAAGAAGCAGCUGUGCUUACAGAGCUAUGUUUUAACUUUUAAUGGUAGUAAUGAUAUAGAACCCAGAGAUGUCAGGAAAAAAUCUUCAGUUCACAAGGUUUAUGACAUCAAGUUUGACAAGUGUGAGGUAAUCCUUAGCACAACUACUUAAAGUAAGAUAACAACAAAUAAAGGAAUACAUUGGCACAGUAUCUCUACAUAUCUUUAUCUUUCUUCGCACUUCAUGCUUAUGAUGUGUAUGCCCUGUAUACUAGGAUUGUACUUGAUGACGUUUUCAAAUAGCUAUAAAUAGUUGACUACUUAAAACAGGGGUGGGAGCAAAGAAAUGCAAUCAGAAAAAGGAUAUACAUAACAGUAACUCCUCAAAGAAAUUCCUUGAGAAACACACCACAAGCAAACAGUACAAAGCAGAGCUAAGAAACUUAAUAAAGUAAGCCAUACCGCAUUGUUGCAUCAAUAUGCUUUGCGUGCAAUAGUCUUUAGCAAGGGACAGAUUAAAUUCAUUUCACACCAGUGUCGAACUUCAAAUUCAAGUGCUAAACAAAAAAGAUACAACAAGCAUUUGUAUUAGUAAUGCUCUUCCCAGAAAUUUUAGAAUGGAUGAUCAAAUAAUAUAUGAAGCAACAACAACAACAAUAUACCUAGUGCAAUCCCACAGGUGAGGUCCGGGUCGGUAGACUGUACGCAGACGUUAUCUCUAUCUCAUGGAGGUAGAGAGGCUGUUUCCAAAAGACACUCGCGCUCAAGUAACAGAUAAUAUAUGGAGCAUGCUCCACAAACAGUCUUUUCUGCCGAAGACAGUAAGUACUUCUUAAACAAGCUAUUUCUGGAUCACAAGGAUUCCAAUGGUAAACCUACACGAAUGCAUGCACUAUCAACAACCAAAUUUUCUAUACUACAGAAGACAGACUCUCAUCAAAUGACCUAUUUGUACAGCAAUGGAUUGCAUACUAAAUUAACAUGGAAGAAACAUGUUUAGGUCAUGAUGUGUGUGAGCAUAAAGUCCAUCGUAGGCAAAACUUCGUAUUACUUUGGAGAGUACACAUAAACAGAACAUGUCAUCUAAAAGGAGUAAAGUCUUCACCACGAAGGAUUAUUCAUCUUCUAUCAGGAGAUAGUUUACAAGAACGUAAAUGAAGGAAUAACUGUUACCAUUGACAAAAAAAGUGAAUGAAGGGCUAUUAGGUAGUGAAUAGGACUAGGACAUUAAUAAGGCAUAAACUCCAUGGAAGUUAUCAAACUUUAGUGCGUCAGGUACUAUGUAUUGACAAGGUAAAUGGAAUUUAUAAAACUAGAAAUUUGAAUCUAAUUGAACAGCAAAACUGCAAGCAUGCUAUGUUAUACUACAAAAGAAUAUGAUACCAUUAAUUUAGGAAUUCUGGAAAACUGUAAAAGAGAAGAUUUGUUUUAGAUUUUAGUGGAAUAAUCAGAGCACGAUAGAGCAUCUUCUACAAUGCCAAUACUUAAACCGAUUGGAACAUUUAUUACAACCAAUGCUCAAUAACAGCAGCAGCAGCCAUUUCAAACAGUGAGAAUACAAGACAUAAUUUAACAAUGUCCUUUGUGUCAAGAUUCUCAGUUCAAGACAAAUAGACACAAAAGAGGGGGAGAUUAGGUUCCAUUUUGACUAGCACCUGGAUAACAAUGAAGAUGAUUCUCACAUCUCCAUGUGGUGCAGUAAGGUUCUUAAAGUUGCAUGAACGAACAAAUUCUGAGGAAACUGGCCUGACUCAAGAGAAAAAAUGGAUCAUCUAGAGUUACUGCAGUAGUAUGUCUGCUAAAUAACAAUUUUCAUCAACGUAGUAAAAAGAUCAAAAAAUUUCCAAACAAGUUGGACAAGGAUAGCGUCUUCCACACAGCAAAGAUCUAUAACACCACAUUUGAGUGAGAUGACAUGGUACUCUCUCAAACACCAAAUUGUCUUUUAGCAACAUAAUAUGUCCAAUCCAAGUAAAUAAAACUACAGAAAGGUAAAUAUGCUAGUCGGCACUGUUACAACCACAGCAUUAAUAAGUUACCCUAUUGAUGGGACAGGCCUGGAAAUAGUGUUACUUAAUUUAUCUCUAAACAUCAUUUGUACUGCCUAAAGUUCCAGUUUGAGGUGUCCUUGCAAUAUAGUAUGAGGUGAUUCCAAGCUUUCUUUCCCCAUUUUUUUAAAAUUUCACAAACUCUUUUUAACUUUAUAAACGGUUUAACCUUCUACAACCAUUCCAAAAAUGUGACAUUGCUUUAAGGUAGGUGAACCAUAAACCUUUACAUGCCUACAAUACCCAAAAUCUCGAUGACUCUUGGGUGUCCCAGAUCACACACCUCUUUAUUCAAGAGUUUAUGGAAGUAUGUCUGCCAUCUACACCUAAUAAGAGUCCCAUCCACCAAUACCGUGUCAUCCUCAUCUUUGAUGCACUUCACUUGCUCCAAGUCACAAGUCUUCUCCUCUCUCACCUUGGUUGUCGUGUACAACUGCUUGUCCCAGCCUAUGUCCCCAAGUUCUUCAUACAGACGUCCAAAACCCCUGCAGUCUUUGCUGCCUUAACUGCUAAUUUCACCUCCUUCCUCACUUUCUUAUACUCCUCCUUGUUCAUCCUCUUCUCCUCAUUGUCUUUUCUUUCUACUAUCUUCACAUAUGCUGCUUUCUUGGCGUCCACUUUUCCUUGGACCUCUUCAUUCCACCACCAAUCCUCUUUUGUGUCCACUGGAGUAACCCUUCAAGAUCUCUAGCACCGCUCUAGCUGCUCCCUUAAUGUAAGUCACAGUCAUCGACCACAUGCUACUCGUGUCCCCACUGCUCCUCCAGGUCCCCAUUGCUAUCAACAUCUCCACAACUCCUAAGUAUUAUCCUAAGUCAACGCACCCCACUUGAUCUGCCUUGAUCUUUGGGUGACCAUACACGACACUUUUCUCCUCUUCCUCGUUAUUACGAUGUCUAUCAUAACCAUCUUAUUUUGCUUAUAAGUCAUAUUCACAGUUAAGUCAUGUGAAUCUAUUGUAUAAACAAUAUGGUAACAAGUCAACUUUAUUGCAUUAACAAGACUAACUAUAACUGAAUUAUAUCAGUAACAGAAGUAUCAAAUUUGUUUCUUUUAUCCCUCUGAACCUAAAACUUCCUCUGACACAUUAACAAAAGGGUCCUCUAAACCUAAUACUUACUCUGUCACAUUUACCUAAGGGGAUACUAUUACUUUUUGGGGAGUCAGAGGUUUUUCUUUUACGACAAGCUUUUAUAAAAAAUUACUAAAUAUUUUGAUCUAUUAAUUUUUGUGACCAACCGCACUUGUUUCACAAUUUUCACUAUGUAAAAUUUAUGUCAAAUUCUUGAUGAAUCUAUGUCUAAAUCCACACUGAAAAUUAGGUAUUUUGACCCUCAUACUAUAAAGCAGAGGAAGUGUUAUACAAUAUAUAAGAUCACUUGGAACUUCUAUGAUGCACUUUACAAGGAUGUGAUUAAAUGAAUGCACUAAAGCUUUCCAUCACAUCCAGAACUAUCUGUGGAAUGGAAACUGGACUAGCUCAACUAGGACCAACUGAUCCGUCAUUUACCAAAACGCUAACAUAGCUCACUAGCCACCAAAUCUAUGAGGUAGAAAUCCAUCUCAAAAUGAGACUAGGUUUAACACAACAAAAACAAAGUAUUAUUGAAAUCUUGAAACUCACCAGUUGCAUAAACAACUGAAUUUUCUAUUUGCCAACCAUUAUCUAAUUUUAUAAAAACAAGAGUCUCAAUAACUUAUGGUUUAUGGUUUUUAAAGAUGAGGAAUAUUUAUAUGUUCCAAUAAUUAAUAUUUUACAGGUUACUUUAAGUUAUGUCUUACGUUAUUAUUAAUCUACAACCAUUUCAUUUGACCAACAGCCAAAUCAAAUUUCAAGUAAGACUUUAUAUUUUUUUGACUUUAAUGAGAAAAAUUGUUCUUUUCUUAAUGUUUCAAAUUAUUACUAAUUAUUUUCAAUAAUAUCUCAAGCAACAAAUUAUAAGAACAUUCUGCCCUAACCUUCACAAAAGUAAACCUAGGUCAGUAACCAAAAUAGGAGGCAACAUAAGAAAGUAUUUUGGUAGAAGCAGUUACUGUAAUGUGAUAACUUUCAAGCGAAAGGUUGCUAGUGAGCUAAAGACAAAUACAGCAAAUAUAGAAUGAUCACUUAAACUUUAAAAUUCAUCAAGCUGAGAGAUAUAAGCUUCAUGAUUAAUCCUUCUUGUUCCAAAAAUAAAGCUUUGAGGAGUUAUCCAUGUGUGUACAGUGUCAUAUCAGUCCAUACACUAACAAGUAUUUUGAAAUUACAGGUGAACAACAGUUUGAACCUGUGCGUGGUAGAUUCAUAAAUCACUGUCUUAAUCCAUAUGGCUACAUCCACUCCCUCACCUUCUUAAGUUCCACUUUUACAGAUUUAAAUUGGAAACAAAAUAUUCAAGUCAAAUAUCUAUCAUCUUUCUUAUUUCAAUGAUGUUCUUAUUCAAAAUUAUGAUUAAAAUAUAAAGUAAAAAUAACCAAAAAAAGAAAAUAUAGCAGCAAGAAGAGGUAAAAUCAAAAUACAUUACUCAUAAGCUAAUCUUUUCUCCUUUUCAGAAAAACAAAUGCGCCCACUCAGGCUUUGGGGAGGGUAGAAUGUACGCAGACCUAACAACUAUCUCGUGGAGGUAGAGAGGUAAUUUCCGAAAGACUCACAGCUCAAGUGCAACAAAUCUAGGUACAAAUAAGACACAGACAAUGACAACAAAAAUAGUACGACAGUUGAAAUAUCAAAACAAGAACUACAAUAAUACUAGUAUAAGAAUACUAGUUGGUAAAAUAUCUUUUCUUUCCUAAGCAAUAUAUAAGAUCCAAUACAGUGUACAACGAUCAUCCUUCAAUCCUACAACUCUUUAUUCUAUCCCUCAAUAUGGACAAUUCCCUAAACUUUAAUCUUAAAAGCAUAUGCCUAAACUAAAGGAAUCAUUUACGCAAGAUGAAUUUUCAUUUCUCUCGAAAAAAAUCCUCAAUUUAUGUUAGUACAAUGCUGAAAUACAAAAGAAGUAGAUUAGGUAGCCAAUCCAUUUCACGCAGUAAAUUGCUUGUAAUAUGAUCACUAAACAAUUUUAGAGGGACAAAGCUAGUUAACAAUAAUAUAUUCCAGAGAAAUGUGUAACAGUUAACAUGAUGUUACAAGAUUUCAAUUAGGUCGCCAAGUGGUAUUUCAGUUCAACUUCUACUGUAGGCCAUUAAACUGGUAAAUCAAUCAUUUUCUUGCUGAUAAUGUGAUAGCUAUCUGUAUUUUACAUGAUGUUGUAUAGAUCACUUAAGAUCAAAAAUACAAAAUGAUAACAAAAGUAACAGGAGGUAAUCAUAACACAGUUCGCGGGAGAAGCCAUAAGAUGUACAGCAGCACUAAGAUUAUAUCACACAGAUAGAAAGCAUAUUUGACCUCUAAUAUACACAAUUACAUAAAGUAAAUGCUAUAUGUAUUCCGUCAUACUAUUCUAUGAACUACUAUGAUAAAUUGGUGCCGAAAAAGAAAAAAUGCAAAAGAAACAAACAGAAGAAAAGUGUACAUGCAAUAACAAAUCUGAAGCCAGCACAGAUUUCACCGAGAAACAUUAAAGUAAUUUUCUUUAACUCAAGUACAGAAGCAAAAUUGUUUGCCAACAGUACUUCAAAGUGUAACAUCAAAUCCAAGACAAUAUGCUUCCUAGUAAAGAAAAGAAUCGUGAAGAAAAGAAACUCCAAUAACUCGCAAGGAAAGAUUUGUGAACCAGAAAAAAAAAAAAACUAAGAAAAUACGAAACUAAAUGAAACGUAUAUUUAAUUAAGUAUGAAGAGAACAACAUUACGCACCUGAAAAACGAAGCAACGGCAUUUCCACAAUGCUGUGAGUGUAAUUGCAUACCACAUCUAUUAUAAACUUGUGAUCAGGAAAAAGUUCUGCAAGGGAAUUGAAAAAGGCAAAACAAAAAAUGAUUCCGAUCAGCAAGCUGCGAGAUAAAAUAUUCAAUAAAGAAUAAAAGGAAACGUAUCGGAAAACGCAGUUAGUUUAGAAGCAAAGGUGAAAAUUGAGUUUAGCUUUCAACAAAGAUAAGCAUAUGAUAUUAAAUAUUAUUUUUUCUUCUUUCUCAGGAACCAAAAAGAAAAAAACUGUGAAUUGAACCACCGCCAUGAGAGGAAAGAACAAACAUUGCGAGUUCAUCCUGGAGUGAUCGAUCGAAAAGUUUAUCGGACAAUUCGAGGAGAAGAUGAAGAAAGAAUUGAAAGAAGAGAAUUCGAUUUGUGUUCGAAACAGUAGGUUUCACAUAGAAUAGAGAGAGGAAAUGAAUAGAGACGGGAAAAACAAUAUAUGCGUGAGCUGUGAAGGAUAAAAAGGACGGGGAAAUUGGGAUGAGAAACCCGAAGCAGAGUGGGGCAGGGGGUUGAGAAAAUUCUGGGGACUGCUGCUGUUUCCUGGUGGCGCCCCAAUGGUGAUUAUUUUAUGGCGUUAUUAUAUGCUUUUCUGGGGACUUCUUGUUUUAU